Molecule: transfer RNA, 83 nt
Filed under: Schistocephalus solidus
Lineage: Eukaryota; Metazoa; Platyhelminthes; Cestoda; Diphyllobothriidea; Diphyllobothriidae
Rfam family: tRNA
About the family: Transfer RNA (tRNA) molecules are approximately 80 nucleotides in length.
Source: Rfam by way of RNAcentral
GGUCUCAUAGCUCAGUUGACUAGAGCGUUUGCUGUACUGUAGCCUGCUCCUUGCUGGCGUGGGUUCAAAUCCCACCGAAGCCG